GUGCACAUUUCAUUGACCUGCUUUCUUUAUAUGUGAGCAGUGUUAUUUUUUUUUUUAUGUGUUAUACAAAUAGUUGAAGGUUGAUUAGCAGUAUAACUAUAAAUAGUAAGGCGGACGGUCUCCUUCAGACAAAA
Molecule: small nucleolar RNA, 134 nt
Organism: Nycticebus coucang (slow loris)
Lineage: Eukaryota; Metazoa; Chordata; Mammalia; Primates; Lorisidae
Source: RefSeq, a predicted model, not a curated record